RNAcentral lists this long non-coding RNA (288 nucleotides) under Homo sapiens (human). Its description in RNAcentral is "non-protein coding lnc-GTF2E1-1:1". Lineage: Eukaryota; Metazoa; Chordata; Mammalia; Primates; Hominidae. The record is from RNAcentral.
AUACUCGUAGGCGUAAAUCUAACCUUCUUCCCACAGCACAUUCUCAGCUUAUCUGGAAUACCCCGAUGUUAUUCUGACUACCCCGACGCAUAUACCACGUGAAAUAUUUUAUCAUCUGUAGGCUCAUUCAUCUCCUUAACAGCAGUAAUAUUAAUAAUUUUCAUAACCUGAGAGGCCUUUGCUUCAAAAUGGAAAGUUCUAAUAAUUGAACAACCUUCCACUAACUUAGAGUGGUUAUGUGGCUGCCCUCCACCCUACCAUACGUUUGAAGAACCAGUCUACAUAAAA